Molecule: unclassified non-coding RNA, 253 nt
Filed under: uncultured Bradymonadales bacterium
Lineage: Bacteria; Deltaproteobacteria; Bradymonadales
Description: contains 16S-23S intergenic spacer region
Rfam family: Bacterial small subunit ribosomal RNA
Source: RNAcentral
GACGGAGGGUGCAAGCGUUGUUCGGAAUCAUUGGGCGUAAAGGGCGCGCAGGCGGCCUCUCAAGUCCGAUGUGAAAGUCCGAGGCUCAACUUCGGAAGCGCAUCGGAAACUGAGUGGCUUGAGUCCGAGAGGGGACCGUGGAAUUCCUGGUGUAGGGGUGAAAUCCGUAGAGAUCAGGAGGAACACCGGAGGUGAAAACGACGGUCUGGAUCGGAACUGACGCUGAGGCGCGAAAGCGCGGGUAGCGAACAGG